This 2193-nucleotide long non-coding RNA is filed under the name Eucalyptus grandis. Its description in RNAcentral is "long non-coding RNA (EGRA_LNC001815)". The record is from RNAcentral. Lineage: Eukaryota; Viridiplantae; Streptophyta; Magnoliopsida; Myrtales; Myrtaceae.
GAAGACGUAGCAAGUCCACAAUUGAAGACACCACAGCUGAUUCCUUCAGCUUCACUGGUCUGCGCGUCUCCCCUCAGCUCCCAUCUUCGCGUGUCUUCACGGCCCAUCGCCCAACGUCUUCAACGCAAGACCAGCGAAGCCCAGCUUCCUGUCACCAAUUGAAGCCAGCGAUUUCUUCAAGCCCAGCCAUUUGGGGUCCAACAAUUUUCGGGCCCAACAAAGCCCAUGUUCUGCCUUGCUCGGCCCACCUUCAGCAGUUCAUUUCAGUCCAACAAGUUUCGGCCCAAGAAUAGACCAACAAUUCAGCCCAUGGAUUAGUGAAUUUUAGCCCAAAUCAAGCUCAGCCCAAGAAUUUCAAUAGGCCCAAGCCCAGAAUUUCUGCGGGCUUGCAAAGUUUCUCAGCCUGGCCCAAGUAUCUAUCGUCGCCGCUAUUGCGUUGAUCCGAUCUUCGCUUUGCUCAAGUGAGUUUUGCUCACUACUGCCUUCUUAGUUUGCUAAUGAUGUCUAAGGAUUGAUUAGAUUUAAUUAAGUGUAAUUAGGUGGUUAGAUUAGUUUAGAACAAUUAAAUUAGCGACUUAAUGAUGCAUGCUAGGUGAUUAGACUUAGUCAUUAGCAAGUAGAGAGCUUAUAAUAUUUAUUGAAUGCAUCUCGGGGUUUUCCCGACCUAUUUUGGGUUCCAAUUAGGCAUCACGGGCCUAAAUUGGAUUUUUAAUAUUUAUUUAUUUAUUUUUCGAAAUUAAUUAUUUAAUUAUUUAUUUUUCCCGAAAUUCAAUCGGGAUGGCUAGUGACCAAAACUUUAUGCUGAUUGUUGUGGUGCAGUCCGUUUAUUUAAUUGAGCUUUAUUUUGUGUUGAAUUGAAUUAUUUGUGAAAUUAGGAAUUAUUCUUUAAUGGAAUAACUUUUGGUUAUUAAUUCGAAAAUAACCAGGUGUCGAUUGACAGCACCAAAAGUGUUUUGGUGGACUACAUAAAAAUGUGAGAGUUAUGUAAAGGAAAAUAUUAUAUUUUGGCUAAAGCCAACUGUGUGCCCACGCACGAUAUUUUGUCAAGUAUGAUAAAAAGAUGGAAUUGGUUGUAUGAUUGGGAUGGUAUACUAUAUUGACCUAUGGGCGAUAUGUCAACUUAGCAGAGAGCAGUAUAUCGGUAUACUAUAUCAGCUACGGGCAAUAUGUCAACUUAGCAGAGAGCAAUAUACCUUAUGAGUUUUGAUCGAGAAUGUCGGUAUACUAUAUUAGCCUAAGGAGGAUAUGGCAGCUUAGCAGAGAGCAGUAUAUCUUAUCAGUUUAUAUUGAAUAUGUCGGUAUACUAUAUCAUCCUACAGGCUCUAAUAUGACAACUUAGCAGAGAGUAAUAUCGGUAUACUAUAUCAGCCUAUGGGCGAUAUGGCAGUUUAGUAAAGAGCAGUAUACCUUAUCAACUUAGAUUGAGCACUGUCGGUAUACUAUAUCAUUCUAAGGGCGAUAUGGCAGCUUAGCAGAGAGCAGUAUACCCGAUCAUCUCAGAAACGAGCUAUACGAUCUAUUUAUCAGCUUAGCAGUGAGCAGUCCUAAUAUGAACGGAUUUUAUAGAUAAUAUAAGAUGAGCUAACUAAGAAAGGGUCGAGAUGAUAUGUAAUUAACUAGGUCGAUUGAUUAUUGUUUUGAUUCGAUGUUGUGAAUUGGUUGAUUGAAUGGAAAUGAUCAUGAGUGGUCUUGUUGGCGUGUAAUCGAUUAAGUCGAUUUAAUCGAUGCUUUGAUCAGUGAUGUGAUUGCUUGGGUGCCUAUUUGAUCCGUGCUAAUAGGCAGGUGGAAUAUGAAACCAAGGUAAGUCCUCUGACUCAUGUUAUGCAUAAGCAACCGUAAUGUGUAUUAGUUUACUAAUAGAGUCUUAGGGGGUAAAAUUUGCUAAGACAUAGUCUCAUCUCAGUUGUGGGACAACAUUUCAGGACCCUGAUGAGGAACAUGAGGAGAAGGAACCCGAAGAGGAGUAUCUGGAGGAGAACCCCAAGGAUGAUCUAGAGUAGAAUCCUGAUGAGAACUGAGACUCCACUCAUGUCUAAUGACUUUUGCCGUGGGACCUAUUUGAGUAGAAACCGACCUCUUAGUAUGGCUUGUAUAUAUAUAUGUAUGACUAAGUUGUUAUAUAUGUACAUAAGGUUGUUGGUUUUCAAGUUCAAGUUUCUAAUCCUACUUGUAUAUCCCAUUACUUUAUUGUCU